GUGAAUCAUCGAAUCUUUGAACGCAAAUUGCACUCUCUGGUAUUCCGGAGAGGAUGCCUGUUUGAGGUUCAGUUUAAAUAAAAAUCGGUGUGGUUGCUUCCUUUCUUGGUGACGCACCGGGGUUGGGUAGUCUUGGUUUCGGUUAAGUGCCCUAGAAUCUUCCAUGAUUUUUUGCGAACGUAUUUAAAUGAUUUGACGUACGUUAGCGAUAUCUACUACUUUGUGUUGUCUGCCUGAUUAUUCGCGCCUAUAAUUUUUCAUGAAAAUGACCUCGAAUCA
RNAcentral lists this unclassified non-coding RNA (279 nucleotides) under Glomus sp. RNAcentral describes it as "partial contains 5.8S ribosomal RNA and internal transcribed spacer 2". The stretch from base 1 to 71 matches the Rfam family "5.8S ribosomal RNA", at positions 84 to 154 of the family's 154-position model. The record is from RNAcentral. Lineage: Eukaryota; Fungi; Glomeromycota; Glomeromycetes; Glomerales; Glomeraceae.